AGUGAACGCUGGCGGUAGGCCUAACACAUGCAAGUCGAACGGCAGCACAGUAAGAGCUUGCUCUUACGGGUGGCGAGUGGCGGACGGGUGAGGAAUACAUCGGAAUCUACUUUUUCGUGGGGGAUAACGUAGGGAAACUUACGCUAAUACCGCAUACGACCUACGGGUGAAAGCAGGGGAUCUUCGGACCUUGCGCGAUUGAAUGAGCCGAUGUCGGAUUAGCUAGUUGGCGGGGUAAAGGCCCACCAAGGCGACGAUCCGUAGCUGGUCUGAGAGGAUGAUCCGCCACACUGGAACUGAGACACGGUCCAGACUCCUACGGGAGGCAGCAGUGGGGAAUAUUGGACAAUGGGCGCAAGCCUGAUCCAGCCAUACCGCGUGGGUGAAGAAGGCCUUCGGGUUGUAAAGCCCUUUUGUUGGGAAACAAAAGCAGCAGGUUAAUACCCCGCUGUUCUGACGGUACCCAAAGAAUAAGCACCGGCUAACUUCGUG
Molecule: ribosomal RNA, 492 nt
Filed under: uncultured bacterium
Lineage: Bacteria
Description: partial 16S ribosomal RNA
Rfam family: Bacterial small subunit ribosomal RNA
Source: RNAcentral